This 399-nucleotide ribosomal RNA is filed under the name uncultured bacterium. RNAcentral describes it as "bacterial SSU rRNA". It matches the Rfam family "Bacterial small subunit ribosomal RNA", at positions 30 to 430 of the family's 1533-position model. The record is from RNAcentral.
AUUGAACGCUGGCGGCAUGCCUUACACAUGCAAGUCGAACGGCAGCACGGGGCGAACCUGGUGGCGAGUGGCGAACGGGUGAGUAAUGCAUCGGAACGUGCCAUUGAGUGGGGGAUAACGUAGCGAAAGUUGCGCUAAUACCGCAUAUUCUGCGAGCAGGAAAGCGGGGGGACCGCAAGGCCUUGCGCUCUUUGAGCGGCCGAUGUCAGAUUAGCUGGUUGGUGAGGUAAAGGCUUACCAAGGCGACGAUCUGUAGCGGGUCUGAGAGGAUGAUCCGCCACACUGGAACUGAGACACGGUCCAGACUCCUACGGGAGGCAGCAGUGGGGAAUUUUGGACAAUGGGCGCAAGCCUGAUCCAGCCAUGCCGCGUGAGUGAAGAAGGCCUUCGGUUGUAAGU